UUGGCUGGGGCGGCACAU
Molecule: small nuclear RNA, 18 nt
Filed under: Arabidopsis thaliana (thale cress)
Lineage: Eukaryota; Viridiplantae; Streptophyta; Magnoliopsida; Brassicales; Brassicaceae
Description: snRNA_18038
Source: RNAcentral